Molecule: transfer RNA, 64 nt
Filed under: Hippodamia variegata
Lineage: Eukaryota; Metazoa; Arthropoda; Insecta; Coleoptera; Coccinellidae
Description: tRNA-Phe
Source: RNAcentral
ACUUAAAUAGCUUAUUAGAGCGUGAUAUUGAAGAUAUCAAGGAAAUUUAUAAAAUUUUUAAGUA